RNAcentral lists this ribosomal RNA (773 nucleotides) under uncultured bacterium. Its description in RNAcentral is "bacterial SSU rRNA". It matches the Rfam family "Bacterial small subunit ribosomal RNA", at positions 8 to 798 of the family's 1533-position model. The record is from RNAcentral.
AGAGUUUGAUCCUGGCUCAGGACGAACGCUGGCGGCGUGCUUAACACAUGCAAGUCGAACGGAAAGGCCCUUCGGGGUACUCGAGUGGCGAACGGGUGAGUAACACGUGGGUGAUCUGCCCUGCACUCUGGGAUAAGCCUGGGAAACUGGGUCUAAUACCGGAUAGGACCGCAUGCUUCAUGGUGUGUGGUGCAAAGCUUUUGCGGUGUGGGAUGAGCCCGCGGCCUAUCAGCUUGUUGGUGGGGUAAUGGCCUACCAAGGCGACGACGGGUAGCCGGCCUGAGAGGGUGACCGGCCACACUGGGACUGAGAUACGGCCCAGACUCCUACGGGAGGCAGCAGUGGGGAAUAUCGCACAAUGGGCGCAAGCCUGAUGCAGCGACGCCGCGUGAGGGAUGACGGCCUUCGGGUUGUAAACCUCUUUCAGUAGGGACGAAGCGAAAGUGACGGUACCUACAGAAGAAGGACCGGCCAACUACGUGCCAGCAGCCGCGGUAAUACGUAGGGUCCGAGCGUUGUCCGGAAUUACUGGGCGUAAAGAGCUCGUAGGUGGUUCGUCGCGUUGUUCGUGAAAACUCACAGCUUAACUGUGGGCGUGCGGGCGAUACGGGCAGACUAGAGUACUGCAGGGGAGACUGGAAUUCCUGGUGUAGCGGUGGAAUGCGCAGAUAUCAGGAGGAACACCGGUGGCGAAGGCGGGUCUCUGGGCAGUAACUGACGCUGAGGAGCGAAAGCGUGGGUAGCGAACAGGAUUAGAUACCCCGGUAGUCCAA